AAGGACGGCGAUAUCAACUGCAGGUCUGUAGACUUUUUAAGAGAUCAUGCUCUUUCACAUUUACCAGCUAAAAGAAGCCAUUGGAAGUUUUAACAAUCUGCUUUGAAAUCAUCUUAGGUGAGGUGGCCAUAUGCUUAGUGGAGUAUCUAUUUCAUUUGGGGUGACAUACCAAUGAUUACAAGCAAACAAGAGGAGGCAUUCUUCAUAAUAUUUUGAAAUACACAUGACACCCUGCUGUAUCCUUUAUUCAUGGUCCCCUAGGCUUUCAACACUUUUCUGCUUUUUGCCACCUAAUGUUGCAGAUUUAUUGAGCCUUUCCCUGUCUCAUAUCUGGAAUCAGCCAUUUCUUAGAGAAGCCCGACUCCCUAGCAUUUGGGAAUCAAGAUCUGAGAGCCAUGUGUGUUCACUGCUUCUGUGUCAUCAUCAACUCUAGGCCCUUUCAGUAGAAAAGCAAGAAAAUAUUUGCAUAUUUAAGCCAUGAGAUCAUUCUGACGUAUCUAAUUCAAAUUUUA
Non-coding RNA from Macaca mulatta (Rhesus monkey), 512 nucleotides. The record is from RefSeq and is a predicted model, not a curated record. NCBI's taxonomy places the organism in Eukaryota, Metazoa, Chordata, Mammalia, Primates, Cercopithecidae.